RNAcentral lists this ribosomal RNA (254 nucleotides) under uncultured bacterium. RNAcentral's name for it is "partial 16S ribosomal RNA". It matches the Rfam family "Bacterial small subunit ribosomal RNA", at positions 524 to 776 of the family's 1533-position model. The record is from RNAcentral.
UACGGAGGGUGCGAGCGUUGUCCGGAAUCAUUGGGCGUAAAGGGCGCGUAGGUGGCCCGGUCAGUUCGUGGUGAAAGCGCGGGGCUCAACCCUGCGUCGGCCAUGAAUACUGCCGCGGCUGGAGCACUGUAGAGGCAGGCGGAAUUCCGGGUGUAGCGGUGGAAUGCGUAGAGUUCCGGAAGAACACCGGUGGCGAAGGCGGCCUGCUGGGCAGUUGCUGACACUGAGGCGCGACAGCGUGGGGAGCAAACAGG